This 368-nucleotide transfer-messenger RNA is filed under the name Lederbergia galactosidilytica. RNAcentral's name for it is "Standard tmRNA". It matches the Rfam family "transfer-messenger RNA". Rfam says of the family: Bacterial tmRNA, also known as 10Sa RNA or SsrA, is named for its dual tRNA and mRNA-like properties. Its role is to liberate the mRNA from a stalled ribosome. Lineage: Bacteria; Bacillati; Bacillota; Bacilli; Caryophanales; Bacillaceae. The record is from RNAcentral.
GGGGACGUUACGGAUUCGACAGGGAUAGUUUGAGCUUAGGUUGCGAGUCGAGGGGAUCGGCCUCGUCAAAACGUCAACGCCAAUAAUAACUGGCAAAGAAAACAAUAACUUCGCACUAGCUGCCUAAUUAAGGCCUAAUGCGGUUCCUCCCUCCAUCGCCCAUGUGGUAGGGUAAGGGACUCACUCUUAGUGGGAUACGCCGGAAGCUCUCCGCCUGGGGGCCAAGGAAGAGAUGAAUCAGGCUAGCACUUUGGAAGCCUGUCGAUAGGCUGAAGAAGUUGCGAGAAACAAUAAUAUAUCGACUACACUCGUAGACGCUUAAGUGGCGAUAUUUCUGGACGAGGGUUCGACUCCCUCCGUCUCCACCA